GACGAACGCUGGCGGCGUGCUUAACACAUGCCAGUCGAACGGAAAGACCCUGCUUUUGUGGGGUGCUCGAGUGGCGAACGGGUGAGUAACACGUGAGUAACCUGCCCUUGACUUUGGGAUAACUUCAGGAAACUGGGGCUAAUACCGGAUAGGAGCUCCUGCUGCAUGGUGGGGGUUGGAAAGUUUCGGCGGUUGGGGAUGGACUCGCGGCUUAUCAGCUUGUUGGUGGGGUAGUGGCUUACCAAGGCUUUGACGGGUAGCCGGCCUGAGAGGGUGACCGGCCACAUUGGGACUGAGAUACGGCCCAGACUGCUACGGGAGGCAGCAGUGGGGAAUAUUGCACAAUGGGCGGAAGCCUGAUGCAGCAACGCCGCGUGCGGGAUGACGGCCUUCGGGUUGUAAACCGCUUUCGCCUGUGACGAAGCGUGAGUGACGGUAAUGGGUAAAGAAGCACCGGCUAACUACGUG
Molecule: ribosomal RNA, 468 nt
Filed under: uncultured bacterium
Lineage: Bacteria
Description: partial 16S ribosomal RNA
Rfam family: Bacterial small subunit ribosomal RNA
Source: RNAcentral